AGUGAACGCUGGCGGUAGGCCUAACACAUGCAAGUCGAACGGCAGCACAGUAAGAGCUUGCUCUUACGGGUGGCGAGUGGCGGACGGGUGAGGAAUACAUCGGAAUCUACUUUUUCGUGGGGGAUAACGUAGGGAAACUUACGCUAAUACCGCAUACGACCUACGGGUGAAAGCAGGGGAUCUUCGGACCUUGCGCGAUUGAAUGAGCCGAUGUCGGAUUAGCUAGUUGGCGGGGUAAAGGCCCACCAAGGCGACGAUCCGUAGCUGGUCUGAGAGGAUGAUAGGCCACACUGGAACUGAGACACGGUCCAGACGCCUACGGGAGGCAGCAGUGGGGAAUAUUGGACAAUGGGCGCAAGCCUGAUCCAGCCAUACCGCGUGGGUGAAGAAGGCCUUCGGGUUGUAAAGCCCUUUUGUUGGGAAAGAAAAGCAGCAGGUUAAUACCCCGCUGUUCUGACGGUACCCAAAGAAUAAGCACCGGCUAACUUCGUG
RNAcentral lists this ribosomal RNA (492 nucleotides) under uncultured bacterium. RNAcentral's name for it is "partial 16S ribosomal RNA". It matches the Rfam family "Bacterial small subunit ribosomal RNA", at positions 29 to 507 of the family's 1533-position model. The record is from RNAcentral.